GAGUUUGAUCAUGGCUCAGGACGAACGCUGGCGGUGUGCUUCACACAUGCAAGUCGAACGGGGUAGCAAUACCCAGUGGCGGACGGGUGAGUAACACGUGGGAAUCUACCAUAAGGUGGGGAAUAACAGGCCGAAAGGUCUGCUAAUGCCGCAUAUGUAGGCAUCUCGACAGAGGUGUUUAUGAAAGGAGUAAUCCGCCUUUUGAUGAGCCCGCGUCCGAUUAGCUAGUUGGUAGGGUAAAAGCCUACCAAGGCGACGAUCGGUAGGUGGUCUGAGAGGAUGAUCACCCACAAUGGGACUGAGACACGGCCCAUACUCCUACGGGAGGCAGCAGUGGGGAAUUUUACGCAAUGGGGGAAACCCUGACGUAGCGACACCGCGUGAGCGAAGAAGCCCUUUGGGUGUAAAGCUCUGUCAACAGGAACGAAAUCAAUGACGGUACCUGUGGAGGAAGCAUCGGCUAACUACGUGCCAGCAGCCGCUGU
This 485-nucleotide ribosomal RNA is filed under the name uncultured Gammaproteobacteria bacterium. RNAcentral describes it as "bacterial SSU rRNA". It matches the Rfam family "Bacterial small subunit ribosomal RNA", at positions 9 to 521 of the family's 1533-position model. The record is from RNAcentral. Lineage: Bacteria; Pseudomonadati; Pseudomonadota; Gammaproteobacteria.